GCCCGGUUAGCUCAGCUGGUUAGAGCGUCGUACUAAUACUGGGAAACCUGUAAAUGGUAUGCGAAGGUCAACAGUUCAAUCCUGUUACUGGGCA
This 94-nucleotide transfer RNA is filed under the name Chaetomium sp. MPI-SDFR-AT-0129. RNAcentral's name for it is "tRNA-Ile". Lineage: Eukaryota; Fungi; Ascomycota; Sordariomycetes; Sordariales; Chaetomiaceae. The record is from RNAcentral.